GGAGAGGUGCCUGAGUGGCCGAAAGGAACGGUUUGCUAAAUCGUCGUAGGUGAAAACUUACCCAGGGUUCGAAUCCCUGUCUCUCCG
This 87-nucleotide transfer RNA is filed under the name Xanthomarina arctica. RNAcentral describes it as "Bizionia arctica tRNA". It matches the Rfam family "tRNA". From Rfam's summary of the family: Transfer RNA (tRNA) molecules are approximately 80 nucleotides in length. Lineage: Bacteria; Pseudomonadati; Bacteroidota; Flavobacteriia; Flavobacteriales; Flavobacteriaceae. The record is from Rfam by way of RNAcentral. RNAcentral also lists the same sequence under 1 other name.